RNAcentral lists this ribosomal RNA (28 nucleotides) under Pseudoterranova decipiens (codworm). RNAcentral's name for it is "partial 5.8S ribosomal RNA". Lineage: Eukaryota; Metazoa; Nematoda; Chromadorea; Rhabditida; Anisakidae. The record is from RNAcentral.
CAAAUCUUGGCGGUGGAUCACUCGGUUC